Molecule: ribosomal RNA, 416 nt
Filed under: uncultured bacterium
Lineage: Bacteria
Description: bacterial SSU rRNA
Rfam family: Bacterial small subunit ribosomal RNA
Source: RNAcentral
AUUGAACGCUGGCGGCGUGCCUAACACAUGCAAGUCGAGCGGUAACAGGUGUAGCAAUACAUGCUGACGAGCGGCGGACGGGUGAGUAACGCUUGGGAAUCUGCCUAUUAGUGGGGGACAACCCGGGGAAACUCGGGCUAAUACCGCAUACGCUCUACGGAGGAAAGCCGGGGACCGCAAGGCCUGGCGCUAAUAGAUGAGCCCAAGUCGGAUUAGCUAGUUGGUAGGGUAAUGGCCUACCAAGGCGACGAUCCGUAACUGGUCUGAGAGGACGACCAGUCACACCGGAACUGAGACACGGUCCGGACUCCUACGGGAGGCAGCAGUGGGGAAUAUUGGACAAUGGCGAAAGCCUGAUCCAGCGUACGCCGCGUGGGUGAAGAAGGCCUGCGGGUUGUAAAGCCCUUUCAGUGGGG